GGCAGCAGCUAAGAAUAUUCCGCAAUGGACGAAAGUCUGACGGAGCGACGCCGCGUGGAUGAUGAAGGCCGGAAGGUUGUAAAAUCCUUUUAUGACUGAGGAAUAAGUUCUCUGAGAGAAACGGAGGAUGGUGACUGUAGGUCAUGAAUAAGCAACGGCUAAUUACGUGCCAGCAGCCGCGGUAACACGUAAGUUGCGAGCGUUGUUCGGAAUUAUUGGGCGUAAAGGGCAUGUAGGCGGUUAUGCAAGUCUGGUGUGAAAUGCCGGGGCUUAACCCCGGAACUGCGUUGGAAACUGCAUAACUUGAGUCGCUGAGGGGCAGCCAGAAUUCCAGGUGUAGGGGUGAAAUCUGUAGAUAUCUGGAAGAAUACCAAUGGCGAAGGCAGGCUGCCAGCAGAUGACUGACGCUGAGGUGCGAAGGUGCGGGGAGCAAACAGGAUUAGAUACCCUGGUAGUCCGCACAGUCAACUAUGUACACUAGGCGUCCGUACAUGAGUAUGGGUGCCGAAGCAAACGCGAUAAGUGUACCGCCUGGGGAGUAUGCCCGCAAGGGUGAAACUCAAAGGAAUUGACGG
RNAcentral lists this ribosomal RNA (575 nucleotides) under uncultured rumen bacterium. Its description in RNAcentral is "bacterial SSU rRNA". It matches the Rfam family "Bacterial small subunit ribosomal RNA", at positions 347 to 916 of the family's 1533-position model. The record is from RNAcentral.